CCUACGGGGUGCAGCAGUGGGGAAUAUUGGACAAUGGGCGAAAGCCUGAUCCAGCCAUGCCGCGUGUGUGAAGAAGGCCUUCGGGUUGUAAAGCACUUUCAGUGGGGAAGAAAGCCUUGGGGCUAAUACCCUCGAGGAAGGACAUCACCCACAGAAGAAGCACCGGCUAACUCCGUGCCAGCAGCCGCGGUAAUACGGAGGGUGCGAGCGUUAAUCGGAAUUACUGGGCGUAAAGCGCGCGUAGGCGGUCUGAUAAGCCGGUUGUGAAAGCCCCGGGCUCAACCUGGGAACGGCAUCCGGAACUGACAGGCGAGAGUGCAGGAGAGGAAGGGAGAAUUCCCGGUGUAGCGGUGAAAUGCGUAGAGAUCGGGAGGAAUACCAGUGGCGAAGGCGGCCUUCUGGACUGACACUGACGCUGAGGUGCGAAAGCGUGGGUAGCAAACAGGAUUAGAUACCCUAGUAGUC
RNAcentral lists this ribosomal RNA (465 nucleotides) under Vreelandella stevensii. RNAcentral describes it as "partial 16S ribosomal RNA". It matches the Rfam family "Bacterial small subunit ribosomal RNA", at positions 338 to 795 of the family's 1533-position model. Lineage: Bacteria; Pseudomonadati; Pseudomonadota; Gammaproteobacteria; Oceanospirillales; Halomonadaceae. The record is from RNAcentral.